This 314-nucleotide long non-coding RNA is filed under the name Apteryx owenii (little spotted kiwi). Its description in RNAcentral is "lncRNA (ENSAOWG00000012269.1)". Lineage: Eukaryota; Metazoa; Chordata; Aves; Apterygiformes; Apterygidae. The record is from RNAcentral.
CGCAAGAUAAGCUACGGCCCGGCUUUUUUGCCGUAACUCUGGCGCAGGUCACGGCAGCACGAGGCCUUGGCCUGUCCGUGCCGCGGAGGAGCUGUGCGCUGCUCCCUCUUCCCGGGCUGUUCCCAGCGCGGGAAUAUCCUGCCAACGCGGGACCCUCCGGCCGGAGCACCGCACUCCCCAGCCUCCGCUGCGGACCGGCACCUUUGCCGUCAGCCGCCUCCCCCCGCUUGGAAACACCUUCAACGCUGCAAGUGACUUCCUUUAAAGACUGCCAACUAUAUUAGUAAAUAAACUGAACUCUAAUGAUGUAACCA